Drosophila virilis is the source of this 76-nucleotide non-coding RNA. The record is from Rfam. NCBI's taxonomy places the organism in Eukaryota, Metazoa, Arthropoda, Insecta, Diptera, Drosophilidae.
UGGUUCUUAGUUUUAGACGUGUUUUGGUGUGCUUGAAGUUUUGUUCCGAUUGAAACCGUCCAAAACUGAGGCCGAU